This 29-nucleotide non-coding RNA is filed under the name Mus musculus (house mouse). The record is from RNAcentral. Lineage: Eukaryota; Metazoa; Chordata; Mammalia; Rodentia; Muridae.
UCCCAGUCCUUGUGAUAUGCAUGAAAAGA